RNAcentral lists this ribosomal RNA (252 nucleotides) under uncultured bacterium. Its description in RNAcentral is "partial 16S ribosomal RNA". It matches the Rfam family "Bacterial small subunit ribosomal RNA", at positions 525 to 776 of the family's 1533-position model. The record is from RNAcentral.
ACGGAGGGGGCAAGCGUUGUUCGGAAUUAUUGGGCGUAAAGAGCUCGUAGGCGGUCUGUCGCGUCGGCUGGGAAAACCCGGGGCUCAACCCCGGGCCUGCAGUCGAUACGGGCAGACUAGAGUGCGGUAGGGGAGACUGGAAUUCCUGGUGUAGCGGUGAAAUGCGCAGAUAUCAGGAGGAACACCGGUGGCGAAGGCGGGUCUCUGGACAUUUCCUGACGCUGAGGCACGAAAGCCAGGGGAGCAAACGGG